CGAGAGCCUUGGAGGAGCCCUGGUGGAGAAGCAGGAACAGCACUGCUGUGGAGAGCUGUGUGUGAGGAAACGACCCAGAAGACCAAAGAAACUUCAUUCCAUUUGCUGUCCCAGGCAUCUGCUCUGUGCUGUCCCAUGCAUUUGCAGAAGUGAGAGCUCUAAGAAAUGUCAAACCUUACAGGGAGAAGUAUUUAUAGGGGAAUUCUGAAGUGGAAGCUCUUCAAGCAUUGAAAUGCAAAACACAUUUCUAGGGUUUGGCCAAGAAAGAAGUCACAAGAUUGAGGAGCUGCGACAAAUGGUUCAGUAUUGCUCUGGCUUUAACUUUUUAAUUGGGAAAAAAAUAGAAGUACUGUUCCGAGUGUGUUAACAGAAGUUGGCUGAGCCGGUUCAGUUGUUGUCUGAGGCAAUAAAACAGUGCUGAACCAACAGAGGAUGAAGUUCAAUGUUUCCCACCCAGCCCCACGUCACAGAACCUGCCUGGCUGCUUCCCCUGCACAGCUCCUUGAAACCACCACAGCUUUGGGAAAAUAUAUUAAAUGGGCCUUUACAAACUGGAUGGGGAGAGGAGGGGGUGAUGCUGUUAAUUGAUACCAGGAUGGGGUUUUUUUUAAAUUAAAAAUUAAUAUUUUUUUAAUUAAAAAUUCUUACAGGAGAAAGUUUUGCUCAAAACCCAAACAAAUUGUGGGCUGUGAUUCAGAGACAAGGCUGCUCCUGCAGUGCCUGUGUACUACAGCUAACCUGUUACUUCUGGAUGUUGCAUGAAUGAAUCUGAAUUUGUAUCUGAGAGAUUGGUUGUGGGUUUUUCCUAUUUCUUUUAUUCAAUUUUAUGUAUUAAACUGACUUCUGCCUCUGUAACUUAUAUUUAGGUUUUAAAACCAUCCUUUAGAGCUAAAACAUACUUGUGUUCAGAGUUAUUCAGUGAAACAGGUCUUGUUGCUAGUUAUUACCCAGUGUAACCAGCUGUUCUCAUGGACUGGCUAAUUUCUUCAAAGUGGUGCUUUUUGUCAGAGCCACAGCUCCUGGAGUCAUGUCAUUGUGUAAGGAUAUCAGCUUUCAUUAAAAAAACAGUCUCACUGGAGAUCAAGAGAAAAGAUUAAAUAUGGCCUAAAUAUCCUAGAAAGCAUUUAUUUUGAAAGUAAAAUAAAAUACCCACUGUAGGUUUUAAAGAAGAUGUAAAAUAAAGGGAUUGCUAUGUGGUAUUUGAAGUUUUGCAGUAAUUAAUUCAUGCUUGUACUUCACCUAGCAUCUGUUUUUCCAAGUUCUCAAAUAUCUUAAAGUCGUUGCAAGUAACUUCACACGCAAAACCGACUAGAAGUGUUUAAACAGGAACAUCCCAUUUCUGUCAUUAUUGCAGCUUCCUUGGCUUUCAGUACUGCUUGUUUUAACAUCCUUCCAUUGGCUCUGCUUGCACUAUGGAUUAUUCCCUCCCAUCCACAUUUCUUUUGCAGCUCAGCCAUCCUCAAGUGACAAAUGCGGGUUUUUAACCAAACUUAAUUUGGGAUUUUAGAUUAAACUUUUUAAAUAGGAUAAUUAUUUCCACUGUCCCUAUGGUACAUCAUGUCUUUACUUUGAGCUUUCUUUGUGCCUUAAAAUGUCUGUCAGAUAUACAGUGCAGUUGUU
Molecule: long non-coding RNA, 1620 nt
Organism: Zonotrichia leucophrys gambelii
Lineage: Eukaryota; Metazoa; Chordata; Aves; Passeriformes; Passerellidae
Exons: 4
Source: RefSeq, a predicted model, not a curated record